AAAAUAUAACAUAUCUAUUAAUAUAUUAUCCUUGAAUAAAAUGUAAUGUAUUUCUUUCAUAUUGCUAUUUUCAUAAAUCUUUGAAUUUUGUUAAUCAUUUUUCGUGACUCAGAAUUUUUCUUUCUCCGUGAAAUAGAUUUAGGAAUGAGACAAUAUAAUGUGUCAUUAACAUUGCUUUGGAAAAAGCUAUAAACACGUUAAUUAUGAUACUUUUGAAAAGUUCUGUCUAUUCAAUUUUUCAUUCCUAACAAUUAUAGAUGAUCUAGAGUUUUAGAAAUGAGAGGAGGUUUCUAGGCUUCAAUUCAUCACAGGGGUUGGCGCCUAACGCCCUUUGAUGAGAUUGCAUCCAAGAACUCCCCUCUUGUUUCCAAAACCAUAGAUAAUCAAUAAUCAUUAGAAUGAAAUAUUCAAUAGACAGAAAUUUUCUAAUUUUUUUGUGGAUUUGAUAUAUUUCAUCAUUACAUAUGUAAUUACAUUUUAAUCAAAGAUAUUUUAAUUACAAACAGUGAAAAGAUUAAACAAAACUAUUUACAGAAAUGAGCAACAAUUUGUUAUCAAAAACCUAAAAUUCACACAAGAUGUGGAAUAUUUCCACCAAGUAUUACUUAAUUGAUAAUCAAUAUUAAUUUUGUUCCCGCAUAUAUGUGGGUAAAAAUUAAGUUUUAAUUUGAAAUAAAUAUAAUAAGUUGGCAAAUUAAAAGUUCAUUAAACCAAUUUUUAGAAAUACCUAUUUAUUUACAUUCUAUAAUGGUCGAAUGAUUCAUUGAUUUAUUUUUGGUUUAAUUGCCACUUUCAAUCUUGUUUUGAUAGAGCCUUGGCAAGGACUUUAAAAUUGGUAAUUUAACUAUUGAGAUGGAUAAAUCUGACAAUUCACAAAUAACUAUGCAUAAAUCUGUUUCUCUAAUAAUUAUCAAAUAAAUUUUCUUUUUUGAUGAAUGAAAAACCCUGUUUUUGUGCCUUCCACAUUUGACGAAAUUGCCAAUUUCUCCGACACCUGCUAGCACAUUUCAAUACAUCCAGGGAGCUGAUCAGAUUAUGACCCUUAAACUCAGCCAACCAUGUCAAAAUCAUCGCCAACCACACGUUGAUCAAAUCUUUUUAUACAUUGGGUCAAAAAAGGGUUUAAUUGUCAAAGAAAUAAAUAUUCAUGUGGCAAACCUUCAAGAAAUUUUAAUGUUUUAGAAUUUACUGAAAAUGUACCAAAAUUAUUUUUAGCAUGCGUUUUCACUUUGACCCUUGUACUUUCUUUUUAAAAUUUCAACUACUAGUCUUAUUUUUGUUAUGAUAUCAAAAGGCAUAAAAGGGGACUACCAAGGUGACUUGUGAACUUGCAAAAUUUGUAAAACAUUGAAGUAUAAAACAGGACAUUAUUGGAACGGUACAAUUUAAAUAAACAUGUAUUUGUAUACCUGCUAUCUGUACAACAGUUGCAGGUAAAAAGAAAAAUAUAAAUAGUUUAAAAAAAUAAACAAUAUAAUAAUACUAACCCGAAUAAUUCAGUUGUUAUAUUCCACUGAUCUACGAUCACUACAUUAAUGCCUGAAUGCAUAGACAAUGAAAAAUCUUCAAUCAACCAUUCGAUCCGAAUUAGCUCAGGAUUUACCCAUCUCGAUAAAAUUGAGCUGAUUGCUGAUUGGUCACCUCUUCUAUAGGGCACCAAUCAAAAUCUAGGAUUUGUGAAGAGUUUUUAUCGUGUUAGGAAUUCAGGCCUUUGCAAGUAGGAGAGAUCAAUUACGGGGAGGGACUGAAUUAUUCGGGUUAAUAUAAUACAAAAAAAUAUAUACAAUAUAGUACAAAAAAAUAUAUACAUGUUUAAUAAUUAAAAAGUUUAAUACCAUGCCUAUACGAUCAAGUUGAAAUUAUGGUAAGAGUAAUAAAAAAUAAACAAUAUAAUACUAACCCGUCAUAAUUCAGUUGUUAUAUUCCGCUGAUCUACGAUCACUACAUUAACGCCUGAAUGCAUAGACAAUGAAAAAUCUUCAAUCAACCAUUUGAUUUGAAUUAACUCGGGAUUUACCCAUCUCGAUAAAAUUGAGCUGAUUGCUGAUUGGUCACCUCUUCUAUAGGGAACCAAUCAAAAUUUAGGAUUUGUGAAGAGUUUUUAUCGUGUUAGGAAUUCAGGCCCUUGCAAGUAUGAG
Molecule: long non-coding RNA, 2138 nt
Filed under: Mytilus galloprovincialis (Mediterranean mussel)
Lineage: Eukaryota; Metazoa; Mollusca; Bivalvia; Mytilida; Mytilidae
Source: RNAcentral